GGCGAUUGCAAUGAAUUUAACAUUUAAUCCCAGCUCUAUGAGACCUUAUUAAAUAAGGUCUGGGAUUAGAUUUCGUUUCCAACACAUAUAAUAUCUGAGCUUCGCC
Lycium barbarum (goji berry) is the source of this 106-nucleotide small nucleolar RNA. The record is from RefSeq and is a predicted model, not a curated record. Lineage: Eukaryota; Viridiplantae; Streptophyta; Magnoliopsida; Solanales; Solanaceae.